This is a long non-coding RNA of Tachyglossus aculeatus (Australian echidna), 449 nucleotides long. RefSeq lists it as uncharacterized. The record is from RefSeq and is a predicted model, not a curated record. Lineage: Eukaryota; Metazoa; Chordata; Mammalia; Monotremata; Tachyglossidae. The transcript has 3 exons.
UAGAACUACACCGGGGACAGAAAGCAAGAAUGGAGCAGCUCAAGAGAAGAAGUUCGUCGCAGAGACAUACCAAUACCCACCGCCCGCCUUGGAAAUGGGAGUCAGGAGUAAUGGUUCCAGUCAUCUAUUUCACCAGCCUCUCACGUCCCUGCCUCAGAACCAAGAACUCUUCCCACACCCAAGAGCAUGCUGACUGGAAUCCCUUCCAGCACCUUUCUCCAGCAGCUCCCUCAAACUCCUUUUCAGGAGGCUUUAAUCCUUCAGGACAUUUUCCAUUAGCUGUACCAUCUCCUGUGACAGGACAUUGGGUUUCCUCCCAUGAGCUCUGACCAGGACCCAGGAAGUUUCCCAGAAUGGUGGGGAGAGGGGACCCCAGAGAGAUGGGAACACACCCCAGAGUCAGAAGCAGAUGGAGAAGCAGCAGCAGUGGGAGAAGCGGCAGUGAGAGC